UACGAAGGGUGCAAACGUUGCUCGGAAUUAUUGGGCGUAAAGCGCACGUAGGCGGUUUGUUAAGUCGGAUGUGAAAUCCCUCGGCUCAACUGAGGAAGUGCAUCCGAAAACUGGCAGGCUUGAGUACUAAAGAGGGUCGCGGAAUUCCCGGUGUAGAGGUGAAAUUCGUAGAUAUCGGGAGGAACACCGGUGGCGAAGGCGGCGACCUGGGUAGAUACUGACGCUGAGGUGCGAAAAGCGUGGGGAGCAAACAGG
RNAcentral lists this ribosomal RNA (255 nucleotides) under uncultured bacterium. RNAcentral describes it as "partial 16S ribosomal RNA". It matches the Rfam family "Bacterial small subunit ribosomal RNA", at positions 524 to 776 of the family's 1533-position model. The record is from RNAcentral.